This 4356-nucleotide long non-coding RNA is filed under the name Medicago truncatula (barrel medic). Its description in RNAcentral is "long non-coding RNA (MTRU_LNC003691)". The stretch from base 1979 to 2057 matches the Rfam family "MIR5269 microRNA precursor family". Lineage: Eukaryota; Viridiplantae; Streptophyta; Magnoliopsida; Fabales; Fabaceae. The record is from RNAcentral.
GUUAGUCUAAACCGAAAGUGUUAGCAAGUUUAUUUCACAAUUUAAAAACUAGUUUACAAAUUUGCAUACGCUUAGAAGUCAGAUUUCUAGAGGAAAAAUAAAUAAGAUUAUCUUGAUUAAUAAUGCUCAUUCCGUCCCUAUAUCUAAGCAGUAAGCACCCUUUUAUUAGAGGGAAAGGGUGCUUACAUACAGGGACGGGGGGAGUAGUAUUUUGGAGAGACGUCAAAUUAAUGACUUAACUAUUGGGUAGCGUUGUAUGUAAUGUUAAUGUUAAUCCAUUUGUAGGACAUGUUCCUUGCUGGUACCGAAACAUCGUCACAGGUUCUGUUAUGGGCGAUGUCUGAGAUGGUGAAGAACCCAAAGGUAAUGGAAGAAGCACAAGAUGAAGUAAGUAGAGUGUUUGAUAAAAAGGAGUAUGUGGAUGAGACAGAGUUGCACCAAUUGAUAUACUUAAAGUCCGUCAUCAAAGAAACAUUGAGGUUGCAUCCCGUUGCACCAUUGUUAGUUCCAAGAGAAAGUAGGGAGAGAUGCCAAAUCAAUGGGUAUGAAAUCCCAGCUAAGACAAGGGUAAUGGUUAAUGCUUGGGCUAUUGGAAGAGAUUCAAGGUAUUGGGUUGAAGCUGAGAGUUUUAAACCUGAGAGGUUUGUUAAUAGUCCAAUUGAUUUCAAAGGCACGGACUUCGAAUUCAUACCAUUUGGUGCUGGAAGAAGGAUGUGUCCAGGUAUUUCAUUUGCCAUACCCAAUGUUGAGCUGCCUCUUGCUAAGUUACUUUAUCACUUUGAUUGGAAGCUUCCCAAUGGAAUGAGCCAUCAAGAACUUGAUAUGACUGAGUUUUUUGGGAUUACUGUAGGUAGAAAACACGACCUAUGUUUAAUUCCUACUACUCGUCGUCUUUAAUGUGUAUUAUCUAAGCAAACAAAUUCAAAAACAAUGUUCCUAAUAAAAUUUGUAAUGGUAAACUUUACAUAUAGGUUUACUAUAUGUCGUCUAAAAUUUGUGUAUGAUUGUACCACAAAUAUAGAAUAUGUGUCCAAGCAUUGCAUUUGGUUUAGCCAAUGUUGAACUGCGUCUUGCUGAAUUACUUUAUGACUUUGAUUGAAAGCUUUCCAAUGGAAUGAAUAAUGAAGAACAGUCGUUUGGGCUGACAGUCGGAAGAAAACACGACCUAUGUUCGUUUCCUAUUACAGGUUGUCUAUAAUAUUUGUAUUGUGCACUGCCUUUCAAAAAGAAAUAUUUGUAUUGUCUAACCAAAGAAGUUCACAAUGUGGUUAAUUAAUUACUUAUACUACUUUCUGCAAGGCGUCGUGUAAUUCGUUGUUCACAUUUUUAUUAAGAUUCUACGUUUGACAUUAGAUAACUUGAAAAUCCUGGGAUUUCUUCGGUUAAUCAGUUUGUUCCAACUCCUUCAUCAAAUCAAGAUAUGCCAAAGCAUUUGCAUCAUUUUGCACGCCUAUUUUAGUAUGUUUAAUUUGUAAGGAUUAAGAUUUCUCUCUCGGUUUUCUAUGUAGGACCACGAGAAAGAUGCAACUAAUUUCAUUUUUGUGUCAUGUCUCACUUGGUUCUCAGCAUUUGCAAACAUGCAUGUCGGUAAGUAUGUACGAGCAUGAAACAUUAUUCUUGUUAUUCAUUGCCUAUCCAAAAUAAAUAAAUAAAAUAGUUUUUGUAUUCUUUAAUGGGAAAUGCUAAUUAACUUGUCUAUUUAUGAAAUCUUUAACAUGAGUCAUAAGGGUACAAGUUAACAAGACCCUUCAUUAAUUUACCAAGCUUGUUUAAUGUUUUAACUUCAGGGGACACACAAGGAAUGCGGUGAAAGGAAUUUAGCAACAAAUUCAAAAUUCUUUGUGCUUUUGUACCCAAAUAAAUAGAUAUGUUUUUUUUACCUGAAAUCAUUAAAAUUUCAGGUAACGAUAAGUUAAUUAUUAAAGGAGUAAUGCUAGCAACACUCUUUUGAACACACUCUUUAAUACUACAUUUCUUAUUGGUUUAAAUCAUUGUGAGUCUACACUUUGAAAAUUGAACCUACACAAAGUGAUGGGACAUACAUUAAUUUCAUCUAAUAAAAGAGUGGAUGCUACAAAGAGUGUUCAAAAAUAAAUGUUUCUAACAUUACUAUUAUUGAUGUGUUGCCUCUUAUCUCAUUUUAAUAAAAAUCUCACCACUAGUUCAUAUACUUUACCACUAGUUUCUCACACUACACAUUCUAACACUAGGGUUUAUAAUAUCAUUCUGAUUCACGAACUAGUUAAAAGAUGUUGUUUUUUCAAGGGCGAGGGUUUGGUUGUUGCUCUCUUAGUUGCACUCUUAUCCUUUGAAGUUGAUAAAUAAAUGAAACCAAUUACUUCGAUUGAUUAUGAAAGCUCAAAAGACAUAAGUAUAAGGUGUUUUGGAAAGUGGCCCAUAGACCAAAAUUAAUUCAGAUUUUUUUUCCGGUAAGGGUGAUUGAUUUGGUAAUAAUGACAUAUAAUUACAAGUCUAGCAAGACCCUAUUUGAAAAUGAUAGAUUACCAAAUGGAGUUUAUCUGAAAUCACUAGUGUCUCUUGGUUUAACUAUGUAGUGCUAUUAUUAAUUCUUACAAAUAAUUUAUUUGACAUAAUGACCGAAGUAAAUAAUACAUUAAGCUCUUCAAAAUGUUUGUGGAUGAUUUUUUCAUGUGCAUAAUACAAAAAAUAUAAUUCCACAAAAAAAUUGAUAGGAUCAAUUCAAUUUAAUAAGCCCUUGAAGGAAGAUGACAAUCGAGUCUGACAUGGCGUGCUGCAAUUUAAUUAACUCUUAAUCGCAAAUUAUUAAUAUGAUGGUGUUGGACGUUUCAUUUUGACUCCACAAAGUACACCUUAUUCUUCAUGUGUGUCUUACUUUUUAUUAAAUUGCUUUGGACUGGUUGUUCUAUUUUUUACCACACAAAGCACACCUUAUGCUUCAUUUGUGUCUUUAUUAAAUUGCUUUGCAUAUAUUAAAAAAUAAUAAUAAACAACAGGCACAUGUUUGGUGCAAGGAGAAAAUGUUAUUUAACAUGUCUGCAUUAUAUUGAAAUUGCAAGUGAUCUAAUUUUGAGUGUUUUGCAUAGAAAUCUUCUUUGUCAAGGCACUCUUCAGAUUCUCUAGAUCAAGCUACCAUCAUGGAGCUUCAAAACCCUUUUUCGAAUAUCAUCUUCAUGCUCUCCUUUCUCAUCCUCUUAGUUCUAUUCAAAAUAGUUCAAAGAUGGAGUUUUAACAAUUCCACUACCAAAUUGCCACCAGGACCAUGGAAACUACCCCUCAUAGGAAACUUACAUCAGAUUAUCAGCAGAUCAUUGCCCCAUCACCUCUUCAAAAAGUUGGCAGAAAAAUAUGGACCUUUGAUGCACCUUAAACUAGGAGAGGUACCAUAUGUAAUAGUUAGUUCACCAGAAAUGGCAAAAGAGGUUAUGAAAACACAUGACCUUACAUUUUGUGAUAGGCCAAACCUUCUUUUGUCAACAAUAUGGAGUUACAAUGCUACAAAUAUUGUCUUCGCUACAUACUGUGAACAUUGGAGGCAAGUACGAAAGAUAUGUGUUAUAGAGCUAUUAAGUGCAAAGCGUGUCCAAUCAUUUAGGUCCAUAAGAGAAGAUGAAGUGACAAAUCUUGUUAAAUCAAUAACUGCAAGUGAAGGAUCGGUUGUAAAUCUCACUCGGAAGAUUUUCUCAAUGACAAAUGGGAUAACAGCGCGGGCAGCUUUUGGGAAAAGGAAUAGAAACCAAGAUGUGUUCAUAUCAGCAAUGGAGAAAGUAUUGGUGCUAUUAGGAGGAUUUGAAAUUGCAGAUUUGUAUCCUUCUAUUAAAAUGCUUCAAUGCAUGAGUAGGGAGAAGACCAAAAUGGAAAAAAUUCAUAGAGAGCUUGAUAUGAUAAUGCAAGACAUCAUCGACGAUCACAGAAGCAUUCACAAGGAAGCAAGCAACGAUGAAGAUCUAGUAGAUGUUCUUCUCAAGAUUCAACAGGAAAAUUAUUACUCAGAACAUCCUUUAACCGAUGACAAUAUGAAAUCAAUCAUCCAGGUUAGUCUAAAACCAAAAGUGGUAGCAAGUUUAUUUCACAAUUUAAAAACUAGUUUAUAAAUUUGCAUAGCUUAGAAGUCUGAUUUCUAGAGGAAAAAUAAUUAGGAUUAUCUUGAUUAAUAAUAGUAAUUUGGAGAGAACAUCAAAUUAAUGACUUAACUUUUGGGUAGCGUUGUACGUAAUGUUAAUGUUAAUCCAUUUGUAGGAUAUGUUCAUUGCUGGUACCGAAACAUCGUCAGAGGUAUUGUUAUGGGCGAUGUCUGAGAUGGUAAAGAACCCAAAGGUAUUGGAAGAAGCACAGAUUGAAGUAAGAAGAGUGUUUGAUAAAAAGGGGUAUGUGGAU